RNAcentral lists this ribosomal RNA (478 nucleotides) under uncultured Pelotomaculum sp. RNAcentral describes it as "bacterial SSU rRNA". It matches the Rfam family "Bacterial small subunit ribosomal RNA", at positions 907 to 1382 of the family's 1533-position model. Lineage: Bacteria; Bacillati; Bacillota; Clostridia; Eubacteriales; Desulfotomaculaceae. The record is from RNAcentral.
UGAAUUGGACGGGGCCCGCACAAGCGGUGGAGCAUGUGGUUUAAUUCGACGCAACGCGAAGAACCUUACCAGGGCUUGACAUCCCCUGACCGCGUAUGAAAGUACGUUUUCACCUCGGGUGACAGGGAGACAGGUGGUGCAUGGUUGUCGUCAGCUCGUGUCGUGAGAUGUUGGGUUAAGUCCCGCAACGAGCGCAACCCCUACGUUUAGUUGCUAACGCGUGAAGGCGAGCACUCUAGACGAACUGCCGUUGACAAAACGGAGGAAGGUGGGGAUGACGUCAAAUCAUCAUGCCCCUUAUGUUCUGGGCUACACACGUGCUACAAUGGCCGGUACAGACGGACGCAAAGCCGCGAGGUGGAGCAAAUCCUAAAAAGCCGGUCUCAGUUCGGAUUGCAGGCUGCAAUUCGCCUGCAUGAAGUCGGAAUCGCUAGUAAUCGCAGGUCAGCAUACUGCGGUGAAUACGUUCCCGGGCCUU